UUGAAAAUAUCUUGUUGUUAGAGAAUGGACAGACUAGUUGAAUUGGCGACUGUGUGAUGCCAUCAUGUCAAUAUGGACCAACAUCUCUGAGAGAUGUUUCCAACAACUUGUUGAAUCUAUACCAUGAAGAAUUAAGGCAGUUCUGAAGGAAAAAGAGGGUCCAACCCAGGACUAGGAGGGUGUACCAAAUAAAGUGGCC
Molecule: long non-coding RNA, 199 nt
Organism: Thalassophryne amazonica
Lineage: Eukaryota; Metazoa; Chordata; Actinopteri; Batrachoidiformes; Batrachoididae
Exons: 3
Source: RefSeq, a predicted model, not a curated record